RNAcentral lists this ribosomal RNA (422 nucleotides) under uncultured bacterium. Its description in RNAcentral is "bacterial SSU rRNA". It matches the Rfam family "Bacterial small subunit ribosomal RNA", at positions 355 to 774 of the family's 1533-position model. The record is from RNAcentral.
UGAGGAAUAUUGGUCAAUGGGCGGGAGCCUGAACCAGCCAAGUCGCGUGAAGGAAGAAGGGUCUAUGGUUCGUAAACUUCUUUUGCAGGGGAAUAAAGUGCAGGACGUGUCCUGUUUUGUAUGUACCCUGAGAAUAAGGAUCGGCUAACUCCGUGCCAGCAGCCGCGGUAAUACGGAGGAUCCGAGCGUUAUCCGGAUUUAUUGGGUUUAAAGGGUGCGUAGGUGGGUUGAUAAGUCAGCGGUGAAAGUUUGCAGCUUAACUGUAAAAAUGCCGUUGAAACUGUCGGACUUGAGUGUAAAUGGGGUAGGCGGAAUGCGUGGUGUAGCGGUGAAAUGCAUAGAUAUCACGCAGAACUCCGAUUGCGAAGGCAGCUUACUAAGCUACAACUGACACUGAAGCACGAAAGCGUGGGGAUCAAACA